RNAcentral lists this ribosomal RNA (995 nucleotides) under uncultured bacterium. RNAcentral's name for it is "bacterial SSU rRNA". It matches the Rfam family "Bacterial small subunit ribosomal RNA", at positions 60 to 1046 of the family's 1533-position model. The record is from RNAcentral.
AGUCGAGCGGUAGAGAGAAGCUUGCUUCUCUUGAGAGCGGCGGACGGGUGAGUAAUGCCUAGGAAUCUGCCUGGUAGUGGGGGAUAACGUCCGGAAACGGACGCUAAUACCGCAUACGUCCUACGGGAGAAAGCAGGGGACCUUCGGGCCUUGCGCUAUCAGAUGAGCCUAGGUCGGAUUAGCUAGUUGGUGGGGUAAUGGCUCACCAAGGCGACGAUCCGUAACUGGUCUGAGAGGAUGAUCAGUCACACUGGAACUGAGACACGGUCCAGACUCCUACGGGAGGCAGCAGUGGGGAAUAUUGGACAAUGGGCGAAAGCCUGAUCCAGCCAUGCCGCGUGUGUGAAGAAGGUCUUCGGAUUGUAAAGCACUUUAAGUUGGGAGGAAGGGCAGUAAAUUAAUACUUUGCUGUUUUGACGUUACCGACAGAAUAAGCACCGGCUAACUCUGUGCCAGCAGCCGCGGUAAUACAGAGGGUGCAAGCGUUAAUCGGAAUUACUGGGCGUAAAGCGCGCGUAGGUGGUUCGUUAAGUUGGAUGUGAAAUCCCCGGGCUCAACCUGGGAACUGCAUUCAAAACUGACGAGCUAGAGUAUGGUAGAGGGUGGUGGAAUUUCCUGUGUAGCGGUGAAAUGCGUAGAUAUAGGAAGGAACACCAGUGGCGAAGGCGACCACCUGGACUGAUACUGACACUGAGGUGCGAAAGCGUGGGGAGCAAACAGGAUUAGAUACCCUGGUAGUCCACGCCGUAAACGAUGUCAACUAGCCGUUGGGAGCCUUGAGCUCUUAGUGGCGCAGCUAACGCAUUAAGUUGACCGCCUGGGGAGUACGGCCGCAAGGGUUAAAACUCAAUGAAUUGACGGGGGCCCGCACAAGCGGGUGGAGCAUGUGGUUUAAUUUCGAAGCAACGCGAAGAAACCUUACCAGGCCUUGACAUCCAAUGAACUUUCUAGAAGAUAGAUUGGUGCUUUCGGGAACAUUGAAACAGGUGCUGCAU